AGCACAACAUGCAAAAUCUAUCAGCACAACUUAUUUUAGACUCUUGAUUGAUGCUGCUCUACAACAUCUGAUUGGGCUCCACUAUCAGCAAUGCAGCUCGUCAUGUUAGUGGUUUUAUUUGUUGGGUUUACUGGUGAAAGUCAUCAGCAAACCAUCCUCUCAAUCCAGGACAGUCCAGUCCAGGCUCUACAAGGAGACGGCGUGACUCUCUCCUGCAACUACUCUUCAGCAACAUCCUUCUUCUGGUAUCGGCAGUACCCCAGCUCACCUCCCCAGUUCCUUAUCAAAGAUUACAUGGAGCUAUCUGGAUUUACCUUGAAAAAGGACAGUGAAAGAAAAGUGUUUGCUCUCGAGAUCUCCUCUGCUGCAGUGACAGACUCUGCUCUGUACUACUGUGCUGUGCAGCCCACAGUGACAGGAAACACAGACUCCCUGUACAAAAACCUGACAAGGAACUGGAAGAGCAUUUGUCAUUGCUUUCAACUGUGGUUCAGGGGAGGGGCAACUGGAGAGGUGAAUUCACCAGGAGUCUAGUGAAGAAACAGUAUGUUACAACUAGGAUACAGAGGUAGAAUGUUUAGCUUCAGGGCUCCCAUGGGGUUUGAAAUGAUGGCAGUCCUCUUUCUACUUCUAGUUUGUAAAUUAACAAGUCACAGCCCACCAGAAACUAAAAAAUUAAAGGGAACAUGUGUCUCCAUGGCAACAUGUUUACAGAUUAACAUUAUCUUUACAGGUGUUUACAGUGUGGACCCCACUCCUGUCAAGCAGAAAGAGAACAGUUUAGAAGGUACAAGUGUUACUCUGUCCUACACGCUCUCU
Non-coding RNA from Gadus macrocephalus (Pacific cod), 819 nucleotides. The record is from the annotation of a RefSeq genome assembly. Lineage: Eukaryota; Metazoa; Chordata; Actinopteri; Gadiformes; Gadidae.